Molecule: long non-coding RNA, 953 nt
Filed under: Salvia miltiorrhiza (redroot sage)
Lineage: Eukaryota; Viridiplantae; Streptophyta; Magnoliopsida; Lamiales; Lamiaceae
Description: long non-coding RNA (SMIL_LNC007364)
Source: RNAcentral
GUGAAGCUCUUUUCUUCCUCAAUAGGGACACUCAACCUUCUUCAAGCUUCUCUCUUGUUUUCUUCUUUCACGAAAAGUUUCUACUUCUGUAUUUUUACAGAAUGCUAUGAUCUCAUCUAUCAUAAACUGAGCAGACAUAACCCACACAUAGCAAUAACUCUAAGCUGUUGGCAACAGCUUCACAGAGGUAAUUUAACAUCAUAUACACUCAAUGAAUCAUCCCACAUACCAGAAACACAGUAUAUGACAAAAUUUAGACUUCAAGUAUAAUCUUUACAUACAUAUACACAAAGGCACUUUUUAGUCAAUUGAGCUAUCAAAGUAUUUUCUUAAUAAGAUGCUUUGUGUGUGUUGGUGUGUGUGUGUGUGUGAAGGGCUGCUGCUGGGGUUGUGAGUCGAGGGAAGAUCGGCGGCGGCAGUAGCGGCCUGAGGCUCCUGCUGUCCGCGGCCGAGAGAGAGAGAGAGGGAGAGAGAGAUGAGUCUGCUGCUGUUCGGCGGAAAGGGAAGACGGAUGAUGCGGUAUCGAUUGAAGCAGGAGAGGAGUGAGAAGGUGUCGGCUGCGGCAGUCGCUGGUGGCGGCGACUUCGCCGGAGGAGGGAGGCAGUGGAUGGGUAGGCAGGAGCUUAGGGUUUUUGACAAUUUUUAGGGAUUUUCGUAUCAUUGAAAGAUAAUGGAGAUGAGUGAGGAGAGGGAGACACUGGAGGUUGGUGGUCGGCGAUGGUGGCCGGAUUUGAUGAGGGAAGCGGCGGCGACUUUGGGGAUUUAGGGUUUCUGUAUUUGGGGGUUGGGUAAAUUGAGGGAUAGAGAGGGAGAAUGAUAGAAGAGAGAUGAGGGCGGCAGAGGUAAGCGCCGGCGACGCCCCGCCGAAUUCGUGGGAGGCGGCAUAAGAUAAAGAGAGGGAAGAAGAGGGAGGAGGAUGAGUGUGUGUAUGUAUCUGCAUUUUGUUUAUAACU